GACAAAAGAGGAAUAACUGAGAAAGGAUAACCUACACAAACUUAAUUCGCUAGCAACGGUUUUGUGCGCCAUUUCAAAGAUUGCAACUAGCUAGCACCAAGCACAACAAGUUAUUUGGCCAUGUUUAUUUUUUUAAUAGGAGUGAAGGGACAUGCAAUGACAGACGCACGGACUUUAUUUACAAGUGACAGGUAAUGGGGAUAUAAUGGAUGGCAGGGUACCAUGACGACAUCAUAUCCCAUCCUUGGACAGGUGUUUCAGUUUGUGAAUGAGAGGAAAUGGGAUCUUUACACCCAAUUUGAAGUGAAGUGAGUGUGCGUUUACAUGGAGGAUAUCCCGUGACCCUAGUGUAAUGACUUGCAGACUACAGGUGGGCUUGCUCCUGAGUGGCACUGAUGGGCCACAUAAACACACUCUAUCACACUCCUCUCCUCUCCUACAGGCUCUCUUUAACUCUGAAUACUAC
Cyprinus carpio carpio is the source of this 466-nucleotide long non-coding RNA. NCBI's taxonomy places the organism in Eukaryota, Metazoa, Chordata, Actinopteri, Cypriniformes, Cyprinidae. The record is from Ensembl.